Molecule: ribosomal RNA, 254 nt
Filed under: uncultured bacterium
Lineage: Bacteria
Description: partial 16S ribosomal RNA
Rfam family: Bacterial small subunit ribosomal RNA
Source: RNAcentral
UACGGAGGGUGCGAACGUUAUUCGGAAUCACUGGGCUUAAAGCGCGUGUAGGCGGGGCGGCACGUCGGUCGCUGAAAGCCCCCGGCUCAACCGGGGAACGGGCGCCGAUACGACCGCCCUCGAGGGACGUAGGGGGACCUGGAACUUCCGGUGGAGCGGUGAAAUGCGUUGAGAUCGGAAGGAACGCCCGUGGCGAAAGCGAGGUCCUGGACGUCUGCUGACGCUGAGACGCGAAAGCCAGGGGAGCGAACGGG